RNAcentral lists this ribosomal RNA (2375 nucleotides) under Salmonella enterica subsp. enterica serovar Enteritidis. RNAcentral's name for it is "partial 23S ribosomal RNA". It matches the Rfam family "Bacterial large subunit ribosomal RNA". Lineage: Bacteria; Pseudomonadati; Pseudomonadota; Gammaproteobacteria; Enterobacterales; Enterobacteriaceae. The record is from RNAcentral.
CCACCACCAAAGCAUUUGCUGUACCGCGUUGACGGAGCGAAGCGACGUCAAACCGAUAAAACAGCAGUGUAAAGUGAGCCGCAGGGCGCUUUGCGCGACAGCGCAAAGGCAGGCGGUUUCGCGUAGCGAAAGCGAAUGCUUUGGGGUGGGGUGACUGCGUACCUUUUGUAUAAUGGGUCAGCGACUUAUAUUCUGUAGCAAGGUUAACCGAAUAGGGGAGCCGGAGGGAAACCGAGUCUUAAUUGGGCGUUAAGUUGCAGGGUAUAGACCCGAAACCCGGUGAUCUAGCCAUGGGCAGGUUGAAGGGUGGGUAACACUAACUGGAGGACCGAACCGACUAAUGUUGAAAAAUUAGCGGAUGACCUGUGGCUGGGGGUGAAAGGCCAAUCAAACCGGGAGAUAGCUGGUUCUCCCCGAAAGCUAUUUAGGUAGCGCCUCGUGAAUUCAUCUCCGGGGGUAGAGCACUGUUUCGGCUAGGGGGCCAUCCCGGCUUACCAACCCGAUGCAAACUGCGAAUACCGGAGAAUGUUAUCACGGGAGACACACGGCGGGUGCUAACGUCCGUCGUGAAGAGGGAAACAACCCAGACCGCCAGCUAAGGUCCCAAAGUCAUGGUUAAGUGGGAAACGAUGUGGGAAGGCCCAGACAGCCAGGAUGUUGGCUUAGAAGCAGCCAUCAUUUAAAGAAAGCGUAAUAGCUCACUGGUCGAGUCGGCCUGCGCGGAAGAUGUAACGGGGCUAAACCAUGCACCGAAGCUGCGGCAGCGACACUGUGUGUUGUUGGGUAGGGGAGCGUUCUGUAAGCCUGUGAAGGUGUGUCGUGAGGCAUGCUGGAGGUAUCAGAAGUGCGAAUGCUGACAUAAGUAACGAUAAAGCGGGUGAAAAGCCCGCUCGCCGGAAGACCAAGGGUUCCUGUCCAACGUUAAUCGGGGCAGGGUGAGUCGACCCCUAAGGCGAGGCCGAAAGGCGUAGUCGAUGGGAAACGGGUUAAUAUUCCCGUACUUGGUGUUACUGCGAAGGGGGGACGGAGAAGGCUAUGUUGGCCGGGCGACGGUUGUCCCGGUUUAAGCGUGUAGGUGUGUGUUCCAGGUAAAUCCGGUUCACUUUAACACUGAGGCGUGACGACGAGGCACUACGGUGCUGAAGCAACAAAUGCCCUGCUUCCAGGAAAAGCCUCUAAGCAUCAGGUAACAUCAAAUCGUACCCCAAACCGACACAGGUGGUCAGGUAGAGAAUACCAAGGCGCUUGAGAGAACUCGGGUGAAGGAACUAGGCAAAAUGGUGCCGUAACUUCGGGAGAAGGCACGCUGACACGUAGGUGAAGUGAUUUACUCAUGGAGCUGAAGUCAGUCGAAGAUACCAGCUGGCUGCAACUGUUUAUUAAAAACACAGCACUGUGCAAACACGAAAGUGGACGUAUACGGUGUGACGCCUGCCCGGUGCCGGAAGGUUAAUUGAUGGGGUCAGCGCAAGCGAAGCUCCUGAUCGAAGCCCCGGUAAACGGCGGCCGUAACUAUAACGGUCCUAAGGUAGCGAAAUUCCUUGUCGGGUAAGUUCCGACCUGCACGAAUGGCGUAAUGAUGGCCAGGCUGUCUCCACCCGAGACUCAGUGAAAUUGAACUCGCUGUGAAGAUGCAGUGUACCCGCGGCAAGACGGAAAGACCCCGUGAACCUUUACUAUAGCUUGACACUGAACAUUGAGCCUUGAUGUGUAGGAUAGGUGGGAGGCUUUGAAGUGUGGACGCCAGUCUGCAUGGAGCCGACCUUGAAAUACCACCCUUUAAUGUUUGAUGUUCUAACGUGGACCCGUUACCCGGGUUGCGGACAGUGUCUGGUGGGUAGUUUGACUGGGGCGGUCUCCUCCUAAAGAGUAACGGAGGAGCACGAAGGUUGGCUAAUCCUGGUCGGACAUCAGGAGGUUAGUGCAAUGGCAUAAGCCAGCUUGACUGCGAGCGUGACGGCGCGAGCAGGUGCGAAAGCAGGUCAUAGUGAUCCGGUGGUUCUGAAUGGAAGGGCCAUCGCUCAACGGAUAAAAGGUACUCCGGGGAUAACAGGCUGAUACCGCCCAAGAGUUCAUAUCGACGGCGGUGUUUGGCACCUCGAUGUCGGCUCAUCACAUCCUGGGGCUGAAGUAGGUCCCAAGGGUAUGGCUGUUCGCCAUUUAAAGUGGUACGCGAGCUGGGUUUAGAACGUCGUGAGACAGUUCGGUCCCUAUCUGCCGUGGGCGCUGGAGAACUGAGGGGGGCUGCUCCUAGUACGAGAGGACCGGAGUGGACGCAUCACUGGUGUUCGGGUUGUCAUGCCAAUGGCACUGCCCGGUAGCUAAAUGCGGAAGAGAUAAGUGCUGAAAGCAUCUAAGCACGAAACUUGCCCCGA